RNAcentral lists this long non-coding RNA (264 nucleotides) under Gossypium barbadense (sea-island cotton). RNAcentral's name for it is "long non-coding RNA (GBAR_LNC002543)". Lineage: Eukaryota; Viridiplantae; Streptophyta; Magnoliopsida; Malvales; Malvaceae. The record is from RNAcentral.
AGCAAGUAACAAAACAUCACCUCCCAUCCUCUACUAAGAAACAAAUCUGCAAGGAAAGUAUAAAUUAACGACUCCAAACGUCAACCCAACAGCAGAUCGGAUCUCCGUCGAUCAUCAUCAGUAAACUUCUUCAAUCAAACAGGUAAACCAUCCAACCAAGUAGUGUUUUCGAGUAAAAAUCGACAUUCCUAAGCAAUUUGGUGGGCAAGUUGAUUCCCUAUUCUUAGAAUAAACUUAAAUGUACAAUUAUCCAACGAUUUUGCU